UAUAUUUGCAGACCCCAGACCAGUGAAAUACAGGAACAGUACUGGAUUUCCAGAUAGAACCAGAAACUUAGUAUUUAACUACUGUUCUAUGACGUCAGAAAAUUUGACCUAUCGAUAUCUUCAUUCCAAAGCAGAUAUGCAGACAGCUACAUUAGAUCACGAUAACCUUGAGAAGCCUAUCACUGAGUACUGAAUAGACAGUGCUUCACAAGUUACAGAAAGAGAAGCAGCUGCAAUUGAAGAGAGAACAAGAGGCCAGUCAUCAUCAAAGUCUUGGUUUGAAGAGCGUAAAUGGCGAUUGACCUCUUCUAGAUUUGGUGACAUUUGUUUAGCCAUACAUAGGA
This is a long non-coding RNA of Saccostrea echinata, 344 nucleotides long. RefSeq lists it as uncharacterized. The record is from RefSeq and is a predicted model, not a curated record. The transcript is spliced from 3 exons. NCBI's taxonomy places the organism in Eukaryota, Metazoa, Mollusca, Bivalvia, Ostreida, Ostreidae.